CCUACGGGUGGCUGCAGUGGGGAAUAUUGGACAAUGGGCGAAAGCCUGAUCCAGCCAUGCCGCGUGUGUGAAGAAGGCCUUCGGGUUGUAAAGCACUUUCAGUGGGGAAGAAAGCCUUGGGGCUAAUACCCUCGAGGAAGGACAUCACCCACAGAAGAAGCACCGGCUAACUCCGUGCCAAGCAGCCGCGGUAAUACGGAGGGUGCGAGCGUUAAUCGGAAUUACUGGGCGUAAAGCGCGCGUAGGCGGUCUGAUAAGCCGGUUGUGAAAGCCCCGGGCUCAACCUGGGAACGGCAUCCGGAACUGUCAGGCUAGAGUGCAGGAGAGGAAGGUAGAAUUCCCGGUGUAGCGGUGAAAUGCGUAGAGAUCGGGAGGAAUACCAGUGGCGAAGGCGGCCUUCUGGACUGACACUGACGCUGAGGUGCGAAAGCGUGGGUAGCAAACAGGAUUAGAUACCCUAGUAGUC
Molecule: ribosomal RNA, 466 nt
Filed under: Vreelandella stevensii
Lineage: Bacteria; Pseudomonadati; Pseudomonadota; Gammaproteobacteria; Oceanospirillales; Halomonadaceae
Description: partial 16S ribosomal RNA
Rfam family: Bacterial small subunit ribosomal RNA
Source: RNAcentral